UCAAUUGAAACCAAAAAAAGGUUUAUUAUUGUUAAUAAUAUUAUUGAAAAUUAAACUUUCCUAUUGAA
Molecule: transfer RNA, 68 nt
Filed under: Eosembia sp. FS-2017
Lineage: Eukaryota; Metazoa; Arthropoda; Insecta; Embioptera; Oligotomidae
Description: tRNA-Asn
Source: RNAcentral